Molecule: long non-coding RNA, 3093 nt
Filed under: Vitis vinifera (wine grape)
Lineage: Eukaryota; Viridiplantae; Streptophyta; Magnoliopsida; Vitales; Vitaceae
Description: long non-coding RNA (VVIN_LNC006772)
Source: RNAcentral
UUCUAGAGAGCUUCUAGAGAGAAAAACCCUCGCAUUCUUCUAGAGAGAAAAACUCACACUUUUCUCAUGCCUAGAUUUGAGUGAGGGGAGAUUGAGUGAAAGAACAAUGGGUAGACCAGCCACAUAGUGCUUUAUGUUGUUUCUGAUUCCUCUUUGACUACUUUAUCGACUUGGAAACGAUUUGGGAACAUCCAAAUUGAAGGUAUAUUGCUUUUAUUCUAUAGAUCUAAUUAUUAUAAUUCUUAUUUGAUGUCAUAUCUUUUGUUAUUUUAGAUUUAAACAAGCUUAGGGUAGAUUUCAUGUACCCUACUAGAUCUAGGGUUAGGAAAUGAAGCAAUAUGAUAUUCCUAGCAAUGAUACUUUUGGAAAGAGGCUUAAUUUGAAUCCCCCUACCUAUUUCUGAUAAGAAACAUCCAUUUUGAACUUAAAAACAUGACAAAUAAGUAUGCACAAUGGUUGAGUUGAAAAUUGGUUGGAAAUUUCAAACUUACCUUUUUUUAUUUUGAACUCGCUUGAUUUUGACACUUAUGAGUUUGAAAUUGAUUUUUUACUUACUGUAAUUUUGAAGUCAACUACUGGUGAUCAAGUUAUUAGCUUCAAAACAUGUUGAAACUAGUUCCAAGUGCCUCCAUCCAAUUUGUAAAACAUGAUACUUAUUUACAACUUGUAAUAUUUAAGUCUUUUAGGUUGUUUAUAACUUUUCUUUGUAAUAAGUGGCCAAUCGGAGCAUGCCAUAUGUGAGGUUAUUGAAUUUAUCAUAUAAACUCUUAUAGUUCUAGGUUUAAGGAAGGGGAUUGAACAUAAGAAAGAUAUUGAUUUCUAUUCUUGAAAUUCUUCAAUAAAUUUUUAGGUUUUCUUUUAUUUUCUAUUCUUUUCCAUUCUAUUUUCUUGAAAACCAAACAUGGGUUGUGAGAAGAAAUCCUUCACCAUGUUUGUCUAAUUUUAUGAGUUUCAGAGAUGCUAAUAAGUGAAGAAUCGAAAAAAGCAGUGGUAAAAAAUGAUAAUAUAUUAAAUGAUUUGAUUAUGCUUUCAAGUUUGAAUUGGUAGGAAUAAAUCCUCCAUGUUAGUUCACCUUAGAUAAGGUACAAAGGAUUCUUACCUAGAUCCUAUCGAUUCUUAGAAAUACCUUGAUCUCUUGUAACCAUAAUUUGAUCAUACUUUUAACGAAUCCGAGGAUCGAAUCUACAAGAUAAAUAUAUGGUUUGAUUAAAUAAAACUGAAAACCAAAAUUGACCAUCAUAUUUAAUUGGUUUAAGAGAUCCAUGUUUCAAAAAUAAAAAUCUAAGUCUCUCUAAUCUCCAACUAUAAAAAGGAUAAUAAUAAUAAUAAUAAGAAAAUUAUUAUUAUUAUUAUUAUUAUCUUGUUGGUAAAACCUCCCGGAGAAGAAAAUUUGUUAAAAUUAAGGAACUAAAUCUCUUGAAUUAAGCAACUAAAAUUGGGGAAUUUGAAAUUCAAAUUCCCUAUCUUCACUUAUAAAUAGAGGUGUCUUCUAUCAAGAAGGAAGAGAGGAAAUUUAGAAAUCAGAAAAAUCCAGAAAGGAAAAUCCUAAGGAGAAAAUCCAAAGGUAACUUUGUAUGGGGAAAUGGGCUUCACAACAAAAGAAAAAGCUUCAUCAAAUCUUUCUACAAGUUCGGUAAACGACAAAAGAAUUGCUACACGCAUUCUUCGCCAUUCAACAAGGUCAUUCGAGAAUAUGCCACUUGUGGCCCUCGAUUGAUCUUCGAAAUCAAGAAAACGUCGUCGUCAUCUUCCAAAGUGUGAUCAAGGCAAAAGAAUCAGAGGGAAAAUAUUCUUUUGGAAAGAAUAUUAUUUUUGAGAUUGUACCCACAAUAUUUUUAAUUUCAAUAAAUAUUUUAUUUGCAUUAUUUUCCUUUUUUUUUUGCUAAUUUCGUAGGCCUAAAAAAAUUUACGAAAUUUGUGCGUACAAAUUUUUGGCACUCUCGGUGGGACCUCUCUGCCUCUUAUCUCUUUUGAUUGAUCUCUACUUCAUCGAUGACACCCAAAAGAACUCAAGUUGUGCAUGUCAACAAGGGCAAUGCCAAGAUCGUCAUUGCACAAUUGACACAUGACACCGCUACGUACCCCAUGACUUGUAGCAAAGCAAAAUUAACAUCUUCAAUCUAAAAAAAACAAACAAGUGAGUCUACUUGUUUGCUAAAACAUGUAAGAACAUGUGAUGAGCACCAACCACUCAUCACCUUGGUCUCUUUGGGGGCAAAAAACCAUAGUCCUCGUAGUAGGGGAAAACUCCCUUCAACACUACAGGACUUUGGGGAUAGAUCUCCUUGCUCUGUUACCAAUGCCAACUCUAGCACCGGCUCACACAUCGGCUCUGUUCCGGUACGAAGUUACCUUUGGAUUUUCUCUUUAGGAUUUGCCUUUCUGGAUUUUUCUGAUUUCUGAAUUUCCUCCCCUCCUUCUUGAUAAAAGACACCUCUAUUUAUAGGUGAAGAUAGAGAAUUGAAAUUUCAAAUUCCCCAAUUUUAGUUGCUUAAUUCAAGGGAUUUAGUUCCUUAACUUUAGCAAAUUUUCUUCUCCGAAGGUUUUACCAACAAGAUAAUAAUAAUAAUAUUAUUAUUAUUAUUAUUAUUAUUAUUAUCCUUUUUUAUAGUUGGAGAUUAGAGAGACUUAUCCAUAAGAUGAUUUUUUUUUUGGAAGACCAAAUUAGUGGCAAUUUAAUCCACUAAUUUUUUUAUGUCCACACUCACAUUUCCAUCAAAGAUCAACUUGUUGAUACUCUUAUGAAACUGUCAUCUUGACAACGGUUGGAAAUUUUUUUGAUCCAAGACAAUUGUUUCCAAUAGAACCACUCUCUUGCAGGGAUGUUAGGAAAAAAUCCUCAUCAUAUCAUUACAUCACGUAAAAGGAAUUCAAUCCCUUAAUUCAAGCUUCUCCAGAGUCCAAAUAUAUAUCUACUAUCACUUUGCUAUAAAUUCUUCAAUUGUCUCCUAUAGUUCAGGAUUAGUCAACUUUCCUGAUUUUUUUCAGUGAUUCUUUCACUUGUUUCGAAUAUAUAGGGACAGAACAUGGGGUGAAUUGCAAUUGACCGCUCUCUAGUCUAUGAUGCAUGUCCUUUAAAGAAGUGGCGUUUUU